Molecule: long non-coding RNA, 2855 nt
Organism: Numida meleagris (helmeted guineafowl)
Lineage: Eukaryota; Metazoa; Chordata; Aves; Galliformes; Numididae
Exons: 3
Source: RefSeq, a predicted model, not a curated record
GAACAAAGAGAAAUUGCACAGAAGAAUCAGAAAUGCAUCUGCAUUCAAGCUCGUGUCUCUGGACCCAUCAGAAGAUCCUUAUCUCCUCAGACUGUUUCUGGCACUAGGAUUUAUCUGUCUUUAUCAGAGCAAUGGCUGGGCUUUUGCUGGUGCUGAGCUCCAUGAUGCUGCUGGUAAAACUGCUGCCAAUUCCUGAACUAACUGCUUUAAGGGGACACACCCUGGGGGAGACCAGGGGUGAUCCAUAUGAAUAGAGAUGAAAUGGCUAAACAGACCCUUCAUUUUUGAGCACACACACAAAACUAAGCUUGUCUCACUGAGAUACGUUGAACAAAAUGCUUUGUUCAGAGAUGAGAUGGAUAUAGGUGUUGUGAGCACUAGCAGACAAAUGUCUGACCAGCUGCAAUCUAAUUCAUUACCUGUGAAGCAAUGGCAGUUAACACCAGGUCCUUCCAUCGAAGCCCCAGUGUCACUCGCUGGGAUCUGCAUGAGCCACUGUGCAUGAAACUACACGACAGAAAACAGAAAUCCCUGAAGAACAGAACAGGUCCUCCCUGUGUAACAUUUGAUAGGCUGAACUUUAUAGAUCAGGAGAGUAAAGCCACACUUUUCACACAUCCCUCACAGAAGAUGUUGUCCUCAUCAUGAAGUAACCAUUCAAGUGAAGCAAGCUCUUAAUGAACAUCCUUCACUGCCUACUGGGGAUCUGGAAAGUCAGAAAAGAAGGCAAUUUAAGAAAAAUAUUGCUUUGGGAAAAACAGAGAUGGCAUAAUUCAUUUCUGCAGUGAGAAAAUGGAACUGUUAACAUCCUUUACCUUCCUCUGAGUCACUGCAACCUGUGCUUUCUGGUCAAAGUUCAUGGAAAUUGAUACAUUUCUGGAGUUGUUUUGUUUGACUGGCAGUUUAUGAUGGGAAAAAUAUAAUUAAUUUUAAGGUGCCAUCAACUCUUGUGAUGAAUACUUUUUCUUUCUAUGUAUAGUGAGGAUUUUAUUAUGUGUUUUAUUGUUAUUUUGAAACAAUAGCAAAAUUUAAAUGUUUUCAAUUGAGAGUUCUGGCUUCCCACACUUUCUAUUUAAAUCCAGGCUACCACAGCCUGGUUCUCUUACACAUUGUACUUGAUCUUUUUUGCCUUAUUUAGAUUAAGAAGCAGGCAGCUCAACUGUACCUCUUGCUGAUGGCAAGCGUUAUCUGCAUGUUUGCUUUCCUGCUAUGCACAGUGACUGUUAAUGAACCUUUUCCUGCCCACAGCAGGGGGAUUGGAGCUUGAUAAUCUUUAAGGUCCCUUUCAACCUAAGCCAUUCUAUGAUUCUGAGAUUCUAUGAUUCUUUACCCAGCGGUAACUUGACUGACAGCAGAUCAGUACAACUAAAUAAAACAUUUAAAAACAAGUAUACCCAUGUCUGGAUACUUAAGAAGGAGAGGAAAUGGCAAAAUAUUUCAGAUUUGUUAGGGGCCAUUAGGUGUAUCAUAACUGCAUGAGCAGUUAUAUAAUUUAGUGACUCUCAUGAGGCAUUCUGCAUUAUGUUUGCAGUUGUGAGAGAGGGAGUUGCACCCAACUGUUUUAAGAGUGACUAUUUUUUAUUGGGGUUUUCUGGUGACGGUAUUACUCCAACAACUUGUGCAUGUCAUCAAAACCCAGAGGUAAAGAUAUAGCACUCUUUGGGUAUACUUUAUUAUUUCACAAUAAUUGGAUACCAUUGGACACCUAAUGAAAAUUUACAUUAGGCAGAUACCCAGUGUAAAUGACAUGCUUUUUCAGUCCUUCUCAUUCUUUCUUGGCUGCCUCAGUGUACUUGUUCUAAUAUUUUAGAAAGUAUGAUUUUUAAUGUAUUCUUAGGAAAUUAAAAUAUCUGGGGAGUUUUGAAGUAUUUUUCAGCAGGAAAAUCAUUAAUUGCAGUACUGGGAAUUAGAUAUUUACUUUAAAGUCAGUGGGAGUGUGUUACCAUUAGCAGGUUUGGAGCAAUGGUUCAGAGAAAUGGUGAAAAAAACCUUUUUCCUAGAUUCUUGAGUCUCCAAACAGAGAUGUACUUGUUUAAAUUUAUACAUGUGAGUAGUCUCACUGGAAGCCUUCUUAAACCUGAGCACAUGUGAAAUCAUUUGCAGAAUAAACCCUUGGUUUGGUUACAUCUGACUCAUCUUAAAUCUGAAAAAUAGCUUCUUGAACUUUUCUUUUCUGAAGUUUUGAAAGUCCCUGUGAGUACUGGAUGAAAUUUAAUGGUUCUUAUUUCAGCUGAAUAUAGCUUGGCCUUCCUUAAUGAGAACGAUGUUUUGUUUUCAAAAUAAUAAUUGUAAUGGAAGUUUUAAUGGGAUGUGUUUUCUAAUAAACAGCAGUAAUGCUUUGUGAUUUUUAUAGUGCCUUUCAUUGUAGGCUCUGAAAGUGCUUCAUUAGUGUUUUAGUCUCACAUCACCCCAAGUGGAAUGGUAUUGUUGUGCUUGUUUUAUGGAGAGGAGGGUAAAGCUGAGAAUGAGCUGUGAAAAUGAGAAUCUGGUAUAGUCUGCAGGACUAAUGGCUAUUCACAGACUCAUUCACACAACACACAGUCUCUUCUCACGUACUUCUAGCCAUGCUCCUUUAGAUGCACUUUUAUGGCUAACAGCUAGUUGCUGUCAUGAAGAUAACAACACCUUUGGCUUUGCAAACUAUUUCUGGUUAGAAAUUGCUCACUCUUAGUUUCCCUUUCUUUGUUCUAAUCGGGACUUAAUAUGUGUGCUAAAACCAGUCCUAUGCUUAAGUGCUUUUUGAUUCAGGCUCUAUUUGAAUAAUGGAGGUGAAAUGUGGUAGAAAAAGGGAUAGGGUUCAUCCAUUCUCAUCUGGGCACUGACACCUGGCAGACAGAUUGAUGUAAAUGCAUGUU